Molecule: ribosomal RNA, 406 nt
Filed under: uncultured bacterium
Lineage: Bacteria
Description: partial 16S ribosomal RNA
Rfam family: Bacterial small subunit ribosomal RNA
Source: RNAcentral
AUUGAACGCUGGCGGCAGGCCUAACACAUGCAAGUCGAGCGAGUGGCAGAAGGGAGAGUAAUGUAUGGGAAUCAGCGCGAUAGAGGGGGAUAACUACUAGAAAAGGUGGCUAAUACCGUAUAAUAUGGGAUGAACCAAUAGGGGAUGAUCUAGUAGGUGGGGUAAGGGCUCACCUAGGCGACGAUCUCUAGCUGGUCUGAGAGGAUGACAAGCCAGACUGGGAAUGAGACCAGGCCCAGACUCCUACGGGAGGCAGCAGUGGGGAAUAUUGCACAAUGGGCGCAAGACUGAUGCAGCCAUGCCGCGUGUAUGAAGAAGGCCUUAGGGGUGUAAAGUACUUUCAGCGGGGAGGCGUUACCCGCAGAAGAAGCACCGGCUAACUCCGUGCCAGCAGCCGCGGUAAUAC